CGCCCUUGAGUUUGAUCAUGGCUCAGAGUGAACGCUGGCGGCGUGCUUAACACAUGCAAGUCGAACGGGACUUAUCUGAGAUUACAUCAAGGGUAAGUUCAGUGGCAGACGGGUGAGUAUCACAUAGGUGAUCUACCCUUGAGAGGAAAAUAACCCCGAGAAAUCGGGGCUAAUGUUCCAUAAGACCACGGCCUUUCCUACGAAAGGUUGGGGCCAAAGCUCCGCAAGGGGCGCUUGAGGAUGAGCCUGUGUCCUAUCAGCUAGUUGGUGAGGUAAUGGCUCACCAAGGCUAAGACGGGUAUCCGACCUGAAAGGGUGACCGGACACACUGGAACUGAGACACGGUCCAGACUCCUACGGGAGGCAGCAGUGGGGAAUUUUGGACAAUGGGGGCAACCCUGUUUUCAGCAACGCCGCGUGAGGGAUGAAGGUUCUCGGAUUGUAAACCUCUUUUGCAGGGGACGAAUCACGUCGUGAAUAACGACGAAUGACGGUACUCUGCGAAUAAGCCACGGCUAACUACGUGCCAGCAGCCGCGGUAC
This 542-nucleotide ribosomal RNA is filed under the name uncultured Acidobacteriota bacterium. RNAcentral's name for it is "bacterial SSU rRNA". It matches the Rfam family "Bacterial small subunit ribosomal RNA", at positions 1 to 523 of the family's 1533-position model. The record is from RNAcentral. Lineage: Bacteria; Pseudomonadati; Acidobacteriota.